RNAcentral lists this ribosomal RNA (108 nucleotides) under bacterium. The record is from RNAcentral.
GUUGGUGGGUUAGCAUUGGGGGUACACCCGUUCUCAUUCCGAACACGGAAGUUAAGCCCAAUUGCGCCGAUGGUACUUCUUCGGAGGAAGAGUAGGUCACCGCCAACU